ACGCGGAGCGUGUAACCAUGGAAGAAGCAGGCCAAGAUUCAAUGACCUUUAUUGAGCCACAUGCAAGGUUAGCUGAACAGCAUGAAUUCAAGUUUUACCAAAUUGUAUUUAAAAGUUGAUAUCUUCAUCAUCCUGUACCUGAGCCUGGGGUCUCUGAAGCAUCCUCAUGUACCUCAACUUGAACUAGAUGGACACUGCCCAUUUACUGGGACUAGAGGAGAUGACCACCCAUUUUGAUCUCUGGAUAAAGAAGAGGAAGAAUGUAUUGAAUGAAAGCAAAAACAAGUUCAUUCACUGAACCUGAAGCUCCAUGAUUUUGCUAGAUUUAACUGGGGAGCAAUCACUAACAGAAUUCCGUGUCACUCUGAAUAGCACUCGAACUUCAGGCAUUGGAUUCCAGGCCUUGGACACAGUAGGAAUCUGCUGUAUCAAUGAAGGAUGUGUCCAGUCAUUGGCUUCCUGAGACAUAGUCUGAUUAUGUCAUUCAAACUACCCUACAUCUCAUGGUCUGUUUGCCUGUGACUUCCAAGUAAUAAGAUCACAGGUGUGCUCCUCAUAAGUGUUUUAAAAAGACACAUUUCAAACACUUGAAAAAAAGUUUUCACUGUUGUUAAGCAGAUGAAAAAAAUUGAAAUUAUAGAUCUUGUGAAAUGAUUCAUAAAUGCUUGAAAACUUGUGUUCUCGGAAAGUUUCAAGGCUCUUAAAAUCAUUUAGAAUUUGCAGAAAAAAGAAAAUGCUUUGGCAAUAGUCUUUCAAAAAGAGCAUACACAUACAUGUAAAAUGUCUCAAGGAAAAGAUGUACAGAAAAGAAAUGAAUAAAACAUGUACAACUUAUGACAGACCCAGUGUCUGGUCAGUAGUGUUUGAUAGAACACCUACUUCAAUGCCCAUCAAACAAAGAAAGCUUCCAUCCUGGUUGCUACCAUAUACCAUAUCUGCAUCCUCUGCAUUCAUCAGGAUGUCUGUCAAUGUGCCUCUCUUCCAAACCACCAAUGUGAAAAUAUGAAUUAAUAGAUAAACUUGAACCUCAGGGUUUAUAAUGAGUGGGCACAUACAUGUCAGCAGUGACAGCUCACUGUCUGCAGGCUCACCUCAUGCAGGAUUUAACACUAUUAAAGUUAUUUUUUCAAGAAGUGUGUGAUGCAUAAAAUGUAAAUAAAUCAUAAACAUUU
RNAcentral lists this long non-coding RNA (1172 nucleotides) under Mus musculus (house mouse). RNAcentral describes it as "RIKEN cDNA 9630013A20 gene". Lineage: Eukaryota; Metazoa; Chordata; Mammalia; Rodentia; Muridae. The record is from RNAcentral.